UGGGGAAUAUUGCACAAUGGGGGAAACCCUGAUGCAGCCAUGCCGCGUGUGUGAAGAAGGCCUUCGGGUUGUAAAGCACUUUCAGUAGGGAAGAAAGGGUAAGGUUUAAUACGCCUUAUCUGUGACGUUACCUACAGAAGAAGGACCGGCUAACUCCGUGCCAGCAGCCGCGGUAAUACGGAGGGUCCGAGCGUUAAUCGGAAUUACUGGGCGUAAAGCGUGCGCAGGCGGUUUGUUAAGCGAGAUGUGAAAGCCCUGGGCUCAACCUAGGAAUAGCAUUUCGAACUGGCGAACUAGAGUCUUGUAGAGGGGGGUAGAAUUCCAGGUGUAGCGGUGAAAUGCGUAGAGAUCUGGAGGAAUACCGGUGGCGAAGGCGGCCCCCUGGGAUAAUACUGACGCUCAUGCACGAAAGCGUGGGGAGCAAAC
Molecule: ribosomal RNA, 426 nt
Filed under: Shewanella sp.
Lineage: Bacteria; Pseudomonadati; Pseudomonadota; Gammaproteobacteria; Alteromonadales; Shewanellaceae
Description: bacterial SSU rRNA
Rfam family: Bacterial small subunit ribosomal RNA
Source: RNAcentral